CGGUUAGCACUUAGCAUUUUAGCUCAUCUCUAAAUAACUUUCUGCUUUUUGCUUUGCAGAUGUGUUUUUUGGGUGCUUUUUGCUUAUAAAUAUUUCAUCAGACACUAUAGGAUAUCAUUGAGCAAACUUGGCGUAUUCUGCUUUGUUUGUCCUUAAGGAAAAUCCAUGGAUAUCAUCGUGAAAAAUAAACCUAAACUCGUCCAAUUGCUAAAAGUGGAUCCGAUCCGGAUUUUGCAAUACGUACAAUCGCACGCGCUUAUAACAAAUACGGAGUACGGUAAUCUCAAAUCCAUUUAUAGAAAUUCGUCAGAAGAGAAUGUUGCUAUUGAACUCCUAGACAUCCUCUGUGGAAAAGGUGAAAAUGUGUGUCAAAGUUUUCUGAAAAUGUUAGAAGAUGAUGAUGUGAACGAAAAUUGUCCUGAACUCAGAGCCUGGAUUAAAACAGUGGAAACUAAAGAGACAGAAAAGGCGGGACCAUCCAACCAUCAGCAGAAUCUCAGACCAACAUCAGGAGUUAGUGCAAGUAUAAGUGCAACUGAUGGAGGCACUGUUAUUGCACCUAUCAUAACGGAUUCAAAAUUGGGCCCCAUUAAUAUAAAUAUGAACGCACCCCGUGGGCAACCAUGAGAAACUCCGAUCAAACUAAAGAUUGUGGAAGAGGAGAAUCUAAAGUAGUAACAGAUUGUAAGGAGUUUCUGAAAACGAACCACAGUUCCUUGGUCCAAAAAGUCAAGCACAUUGAUGUUAUUCUUGAUGAUCUUGAUUUACAUCCUGAAGCAGCUGCAAAUGUGAGAUCACAGGGAACAAAUCAAGACAAAAUGAGAAAGCUGCUUGACUAUAUGAAUUCUAAAGCCAUCGCUGAACAUCUGGUUGAUGCUUUGUUUAAGCAUGAACGUGAUCUCAUGGAUGAUCUACUCAGUUAAAAUUGUACCGUCUACAUUCCAGUAACUUUUUUUUACCAAAGAUUUUUUUUAUCAAUUGUGGCAUUGUACACACCAAAUUUAUAUCAACACAGUCUCAGGCCUUUUUAAAAUGAACAAUUGAAUAAACACCAAUUUUUAUAUGAGUCAUUUUAUAUUGCCCAUUUUGUACAUGAUCACAAUGGCUUUGUAAUAAAUAAAAAUACAGUUUUUAUCAGGUAAAGUCUGUUUGUUUUAACAUUUAUAGGAUCCUUUAAAAGUUGCUACUGCCUGUUUUU
Molecule: non-coding RNA, 1198 nt
Organism: Misgurnus anguillicaudatus (oriental weatherfish)
Lineage: Eukaryota; Metazoa; Chordata; Actinopteri; Cypriniformes; Cobitidae
Source: RefSeq, a predicted model, not a curated record